GACGAACCGUGCGAACGUUGUUCGGAAUCACUGGGCUUAAAGGGCGCGUAGGCGGGCUGCCGCGUCCGGGGUGAAAUCCUCCCGCUCAACGGGAGAACGGCCUCGGAUACGGGCGGCCUCGAGGGGGGUAGGGGCAUCUGGAACUGUGGGUGGAGCGGUGAAAUGCGUUGAUAUCCACAGGAACUCCGGUGGCGAAGGCGAGGUGCUGGACCCCACCUGACGCUGAGGCGCGAAAGCCAGGGGAGCGAACGGG
This 253-nucleotide ribosomal RNA is filed under the name uncultured bacterium. Its description in RNAcentral is "partial 16S ribosomal RNA". It matches the Rfam family "Bacterial small subunit ribosomal RNA", at positions 524 to 776 of the family's 1533-position model. The record is from RNAcentral.